AAAAUAGUUUGCAUAUUUCAUCAUUUGUUUUUUCAAAAAGAGACAAAAGAAAAUGUUUUCUUUAAAAAUUAGAUGUUGUUUUUUAUUUUUUGCCCGUAUCCAAGUAACCCGAAUUACGCGAACCUGAUUCUCGUCUUUCGAGACGUGAUACGUAGGCAACAAACAUAUGGUUUGAUUGUCCUUGUAAUUCUUAGAUUCUUGGCUUUGCGGGGUUAUAGCCAGACUUUGCAGUUCUAGCUACUUUUAGCCAUAUAGGUUAGUUUUAGAAUUCAGAAGUUGCUUGUUGGAACAUGUGUGAAUUGAGUUAUGUCAAUGGACUCUACUAUUGAAAUUCUUCGAGUUCAAGUUGGAAUUCUCUUGUCAAACUUUUUUUAUGCUGGUGAAAGUUCUACUGAGAUCAGUCUUUGUUUGUUGGGGCGUUGUUUUGUGAUUUUAAUUCAAUCAAUGAGUUGUUGGUGGGGCCAUGUCUGUAUGUAAAUCAUGCAUUGUACACCAGUUAUCUUUGUGCUAUGAGUGCGGAGUUUUGAAGCUUGUCUUGUUGAAUUUUACCACUUUUGUGAAGUUUUUGGAGUAAAUUGAUAGCUGAAAUUCUCCUAGUUUGAACUUGUUAUCAUUGGCUUUUAAUAGUUGUUGUUAUUGUUGAGUUUAAUAGAGGGUAUUCAGUUGGACUAAAGUUUGAGCAUGCUUGAAUUGUGAUUUGGUUGAGCAUACAUUAAGCUUACUCUGCCGAAAUUUUAUGUCCGUUGAGAUUUAUGCGCGAGUUUAGCGGUGAUAGUUUGAAAUAUGGUUUUUACUUCUAAAAAGUGUCCGUUGAGAUUUAUGCGCGAGUUUAGGAGCAUGCUUGAAUUGUGAUUUGGUUGAGCAUACAUUAAGCUUACUCUGCCGAAAUUUUAUGUCCGUUGAGAUUUAUGCGCGAGUUUAGUAGAGAUAGUUUGAAAUAUGGUUUUCUUCUAAAAAGUUCUCUUUGUUGAAUUAAGUGCUUUUGUUACAUAACUUUGUGGUUAUUCUGACUCAAUAUUGUUGUGAUUCUAAUGUUUUGUUUCUACAGUUGAGGUCGUCAUUCUGGGCUGAAAAUUUAUGUGCCUAUUGCUGCUAAAUUUAAUGCUCAAUGUGUUGCUGAAGUUUGAAUUUUGAGAAGCAAUUGAAUAGCGAAUCUGUCAGCUUAUUUGAAUUCUAGAAUUUUGCACUUAAAUGAAAGUUGUUGAUGUAAUACGCAUUAUUUGUAUUUUUUACAACUUUUGGUAAAUCUGAAACUGGGUGUGGAGAUUAGAACUUGUUUGAAGAAUUUUGAGUAGUGGAGAUUAGAACUUGUUUGAAGAAUUUUGAACUCAAAUAAGAGUGUUUUAGAUUAUUAUUGAAGGUUGUUACCUUGGAAAUUUUUUACUUUUUGCACUAGUUGUGCAGUGAGUGCAAGUUGAUUUUUCUGCACAUUUGAGUUCAGUUGAUUACAAAUGUUUUGGUUAUGUUAUCAGGGAAUUACAAGCUGAAAAAUAUUGCUUAAAGUUACUUUGUUUGUUGAUGCUAGUUUAGUUUGGUGUUAGUUGG
Molecule: long non-coding RNA, 1545 nt
Filed under: Nicotiana benthamiana
Lineage: Eukaryota; Viridiplantae; Streptophyta; Magnoliopsida; Solanales; Solanaceae
Description: long non-coding RNA (NBEN_LNC018118)
Source: RNAcentral